Molecule: unclassified non-coding RNA, 514 nt
Filed under: Hevea brasiliensis (rubber tree)
Lineage: Eukaryota; Viridiplantae; Streptophyta; Magnoliopsida; Malpighiales; Euphorbiaceae
Source: RNAcentral
GAAAAUCUUAAAGUAUGAUUGUGUCUGUUGUUUCAUAGGGUUACCCACUUUGUUUGGUUGCUUAAAUGUAAAUUGAACGACAGCGCGUGCGUUGCAGCAGCCUCCAUCUUUCUCGACUACUGAUAGCUUAGAAGCUAUACUCUCAUGGCCGCUAAUUUGCCACCGACGCAACCAUCACUCUCCUCUAAGCCAUCGAACAAAAAGGGAAAGGGAAAGAGAAAAAGAAAUGCUCAAGACCCGGAACUCGACCGGCUCGAUUCACUUCCGUGGAACCAGUCUCUUUCAGAGGAUGAUCCCUUCUCUGCCUUUGUUGGCUCUCACAAGCUUGAAGGAGGUUUUCUUUCUCUUGAAGAGAUUGAUGAGGCUGGUUAUGGUUUAGAGAUUCCUAAUGUUGACGAGGGAAAGCCAGGGAGAAAUGUAAAAUCAAAGAAACGGAAGCAUAAUAAUGCUGACGAUGGAACUGAAGAGAAAGUGGAGGAAGAAGAGAAGACUGGGGAGAAUGAGGAAAAGAAAA